Molecule: non-coding RNA, 29 nt
Filed under: Homo sapiens (human)
Lineage: Eukaryota; Metazoa; Chordata; Mammalia; Primates; Hominidae
Source: RNAcentral
UGCCGUCUGAAGCCUGCACCGGCUGCUGA